CCUACGGGUGGCAGCAGUGGGGAAUAUUGCACAAUGGGGGAAACCCUGAUGCAGCAACGCCGCGUGAAGGAAGACGGUUUUCGGAUUGUAAACUUCUGUUCUUAGUGAAGAAUAAUGACGGUAGCUAAGUAGCAAGCCACGGCUAACUACGUGCCAGCAGCCGCGGUAAUACGUAGGUGGCAAGCGUUGUCCGGAAUUACUGGGUGGAAAGGGAGCGCAGGCGGGAAGCCAAGUCAGCUGUGAAAACUACGGGCUUAACUUGUAGACUGCAGUUGAAACUGGUUUUCUUGAGUGAAGUAGAGGUUGGCGGAAUUCCGAGUGUAGCGGUGAAAUGCGUAGAUAUUCGGAGGAACACCAGUGGCGAAGGCGGCCGACUGGACUUUAACUGACGGUGAGGCGCGAAAGUGUGGGGAGCAAACAGGAUUAGAUACCCGAGUAGUC
This 441-nucleotide ribosomal RNA is filed under the name uncultured bacterium. RNAcentral's name for it is "partial 16S ribosomal RNA". It matches the Rfam family "Bacterial small subunit ribosomal RNA", at positions 338 to 795 of the family's 1533-position model. The record is from RNAcentral.